RNAcentral lists this ribosomal RNA (505 nucleotides) under uncultured bacterium. RNAcentral describes it as "partial 16S ribosomal RNA". It matches the Rfam family "Bacterial small subunit ribosomal RNA", at positions 28 to 507 of the family's 1533-position model. The record is from RNAcentral.
GACGAACGCUGGCGGCGUGCCUAAUACAUGCAAGUAGAACGCACAGUUUAUACCGUAGCUUGCUACACCAUAGACUGUGAGUUGCGAACGGGUGAGUAACGCGUAGGUAACCUGCCUGGUAGCGGGGGAUAACUAUUGGAAACGAUAGCUAAUACCGCAUAAUAUUAAUUAUUGCAUGAUAAUUAAUUGAAAGGUGCAAUUGCACCACUACCAGAUGGACCUGCGUUGUAUUAGCUAGUAGGUGAGGUAACGGCUCACCUAGGCGACGAUAUAUAGCCGACCUGAGAGGGUGAUCGGCCAAACUGGGACUGAGGCACGGCCCAGACUCCUACGGGAGGCAGCAGUAGGGAAUCUUCGGCAAUAGACGAAAGUCUGACCGAGCAACGCCGCGUGAGUGAAGAAGGUUUUCGGGUCGUAAAACUCUGUUGUAAGGGAAGAAAGGGUGUGAGAGUGGAAAGUGCACACUGUGACGGUAUCUUACCAGAAAGGGACGGCUAACUACGUG